Molecule: transfer RNA, 59 nt
Filed under: Procambarus dupratzi
Lineage: Eukaryota; Metazoa; Arthropoda; Malacostraca; Decapoda; Cambaridae
Description: tRNA-Ala
Source: RNAcentral
AGUUGUAGUCAAUUAUGAUUUAUGAUUUGCAUUCAUGAGGUAUCGGUUAGAUCGGCUUU